ACAGCCUUGCGACAGUAUUUCAGAGGCUGUCGUCUUCUUUUCGCUUCGACAGUUUGAUGACCGAAUCAAGCACGACAGCUCUCAGUAAAACUGUUAUGCGACUUGCAACGUUGCCGUCUUGUACCGCACACGACAGUUUGCGCAUACGUCUACAACUAUAGUUGAUGUGCGAUGACAGCCUCAGUUGGUUUUGCGUAACAUUUCUAUCGUUCUUGGUGGUAGAACCGACACAUCGAUGCAAUCAAAGAACAUUUUUUUUCUGUGAAAGUCGUGCUCUGUACAUUAGUUAAGCCCAGUACGGUGCGGGAUACUGAACGAUUUAGAAUGAAUGCUGCAUGCAAGGUUUUCGUUUUUUUUUUCAUUCAUUUCCCAUACGGGAUCAAAACCAGUGGCUUUAUUUGAUUUGAUUUCAAACAGUCAGCCUGUAGACCAACAGCAUAUAAAGUGUUAUUCGGAAUGUUAACCGAACGUGCGGAAAUUGAAGAUUUCAAUAAAGUGAACAAAUAAUCUUCGUUUUCUAGGAUCUCGUCAUCCUGCAGGGCUAUCAAUUUCUCUCGACACUUUCUAUGACGAAGUUUUCGGACAGCGGCUCCAAGAACGUAAACUAAAGCAUUAAUUUCCUUAGUUUGAACCACCUGAGAAACGGAUACAUCAAGGGCUUCAAAUUCAUAAUCUGAAUACUGGUCUUGUUCUGCCAUUGGAAAACUCUCCAAAUCUUCUUCGUUGAGAAGAGGUACUGCCUGAUCAUUUUGGCAAUUUUUGCCAUUAAAAUUUUGUUCAACUGCUGCUAUCAUACUAUACUUGAAUGCGCUGGCAAAUUGAAACGCAUUGGGAGCAUCAUUAAAACCGCAACGACGCCUAAUUUCGGAAAAAAAAUUUUCCAGGCAGUCUUGACAGAGCGGAUUCGUACAAAGAUAGCAACAUUUGUAGUCCUCCUUCAACGUUGUCCACAGCCAUCGCAAAGCGUAGAUAUUACCAAUUAGGCCACUUAAAUAGUGUGGGUGUUUUUGGGUAGCCUUCAGCCUGUUUGAUUUCUCCUUAGCCUAUAAGAAGCAUAAUGAAUAUUUUAAUAACGUUUAAGCGUUUAGUAUUCAGGAAUGGUAGCGCGAAUACGCAUAAAUGACGGAAGUACAUAACCAAAGUGAACGUACGUCAUUUAUUUGAAUUCUACAGAUUUAUAUAUCAAAACUACCUCGUUCAAAUCGAAGCAGGAAUUCGGAAUAUAGUACAUGCAUUUCAAGAUUUUCAUAGUCUUUGUAAGAAAGUUCAUGUGAUUGGUUCCGUCAGUAAUUGCAGUUCGGUACGGCUGGUUCAACGAAAAUAAUAAUACUCAUGAAUUAUAAAGUUAUAAAAUUUUAAAUCAAUCUCUUUUGAUAACUAAUACCUUGCCAAUGGAAUCUGUAUAUUUAUCCUUUGAAUUAAAUAUGUCGAACAAUUUAUCAUGGAUUUCGACAAACUCUGCUGUGUCCAGUGCUUCAUUUGGUAGUUCACCACUUUGUACAUAAUAUCUCAUACCAAUCGCACAGGUCUCACUCGCACAGGUCUCACUCGCGUUGCUAAUGCAACGUUCAUUGAUGAGAACGGUGGUAAUUCAAUGUUUUUCAGUUUCAGUUUUGGAACUAGUCUUAAAGCAGGAUCUUGCUGUACAUCCACAUCAAAUAACUGUUUAAUGUGAGUUUUGGAAGCAAUUUUAUUAUCAAAAACAGCGUUGUACUUAAAAAUCGCAUUCCGGGUAUUUUUUAUCAGAUGAGGCGUGUCGUACAUAACUGCAAUUUUCGAGCCAUUUAAUUCCAAAAAUGGACUUGUAACAGUGGCACCAGCUUGGCGUACCAUUCUCAUGUUGGUACUACACUGGUCCAUGGUUAAAACAAGAGGAAUUAACCCACAAUUAUGCACAGCACGGAUACUCCUCUUAACCAUUUUGAGUUGUUUUUCAUUACCUAGACUAUUGUGAGCAAGGAGGUAUCCUAUGGGCUGAAAUUUUGAGCAAAUAUUUGAAAAUUACAUGUGAGACGGCAUUUGAGUGGUAUAUAAGCUUUAUACAGUAAUCAGUGUACUCAGAAACAAUUGGGAAUAUUUGGAAAGAACAGUAAUCCCAUAAUCGGGGAUAUUGUUAUAGAGAACUAUCUCAGUACAAGACAACUCAUUGGUUGUUUUGGUUAUUGCCUAUGAUAAUCAUCAAUUACAGGGUGACUGUGGAUAGACCAAACUACAGACUCUUUACACAGACUUGCGGAGACAAAAACCAUAAAACCAAGAACCAUGCAUAUAUUGGCAUCACGCAAGAUCCCAUAAGCUGUAGGGCUUCCUGCCAUAUUUCACCUCACAAACUCAUCAUGCUUGUUUGGCUGCAUUUUUGACCCUUCGCUAGUCUGUGUGUAGUCUGUAGACCAAACUGGCUCUGAGUGCAAAUAAUGAUACAGCACCUGUUUAAACCGAGAAUAUAUCCCAGACACCAUAAAUGUUAUGGCCUCGGUCGCAAGUUUCAUCACAUCAUUUUUUUCGAUUCUGCGUUUAAGGCCGUCAUCUGGAAAUCCAUGGAACUUGUCAGCUUUCGCGCUAUAGGAAAGUUCUGAUUUAAUGGCCAUUCCAUCGAAUGAAAUCACAACAGUUCUGUCCUUCUUUGCCUUUAUUCGCUUUAUUUUUUUGUUCAUUAUUGCAAUGAUAGCGACGUUUAGGCCCGGCUCGAUGCGGAUGUGUUUAUUAUGGUUAUACACUGAAUUGUUGUGCGGCAAUACAAGGUGACCAGAGUUCUUGAUAUGACGAUAGGUUCGUGGACCACUUAAAUAAGUCGAAGCAGCGAACCUCAUAGUAGGUGCCUGAUAUCUACGCCCUUUUGGCUUUCGCAAAGCAUUGCGCAGUGAAUCGAAUAUCACAGGAUUGUUUCGAGCUCGUUCACCUAACAAUUCAUUCGAGGUUUUAUGUUUUUUCAAAAUCUUAUGCUCAACUUGUAAUUUGGCAAGCUGCAGUUUCCUUUGUCGUGCAGAUUUCAACCGACGUUUACUGGUUUGUGUUGAAACAAAUAAGUGUCGUUUAAGUUUGUUCACCUCAUUUUGCAAUCGUUGCGUCUUUGCUUGUUCCAUUUUGAAUUGGGUAUAGAAAUCAGGCACAGAGCAAAUGUUAUUCGUGGCGGAUUCAACCGCAUUGUGUUUGCCAUCAUUUGAACAAAAAUCACAGGUAAAAAGUUGUUGCUGCGACGGAUCAUAGGUGGAAAGUAUCGUCAUAAGAGACCCCGGACUGUUGAUAUGUACGUUCACAUCAUCCGGCUGCAUUUUACUAAUAGGGUUUUCGAUUGAUGGCACUGACACCGCGCCAGUGUUUUGCACUGGAACGGUGCCAAUGGAACACUCCAAUGCAAAUCGAGUGCAGACUUGAAUGUGUGCGUGUAGUUGCCCGAGCUGUCAUUUAACAGCUGAUGUUUUGCACUUUUUCAACAUUUAACUUUCCCGUGCUGUUUAGUGGAAUGUAUAUUCACUUUUUGCUAUUUACAAGCGGAAAAAAGUUUUUCUCCCCACAAACAGACCGAUCAUCCGGUCGCUUCUGCAAUAUGGAAACUAAACAGAAUAAGGAGGAUACUGCUCGUGGAUGCUUAGCCACAGUGUGGCUCCCUGGCAAUAAACUGAUAUCCUAAUUUUGUCAAUGAAUAUUCAAUACCUUUCCGGAGAUGGUUCAGGAUUGAUAACAUGAUGAGGGAGUUCAGCAAUUCACACCUAUCCAUAUCUUUACUUGACGCAAUGUUGAAUUUUUGUGCCUACCUGCGGACCACAAUGGGCUAUCGUUGCGCACAAUUCGUAAAUUAAUUUCCUGUCGAAGCUCGCAGAAACUGUUACGAUGCAAACCGACAAAUAAUCGAAUCGAUUGCUAUAAUGAGCUGCGGAAGGCUGAUGACGAAUUUGUUUCUUAAAGCCUAACUAAAUUACCAUGUUCUCGAGCUGGUGUUGCUUCGCCAACAACGACAAACAAGAAAUUAAAGUGCUGGACGGCUGGAGAAAUUGGUAGUGAAUUUUGAUUUUGAAACCAGUUUAAAAGAAAUUACGGUCUGUAUCAGCUAAUUUGGCAUUUUAUUGAAUACAGGCAACCGGAAGUGACGUAACUCCACUAAAGUAUUAGAGCUAAACUGCCUGUAAUUGGAAGUCAGUCCCAUAUAGUUAGAGAUCCCUUUAGAACAUGGGACUGACUUGCGAUUAUGGGCAGUAAAUGCUGUACUCGAAUUUGUUCCGACUGGGACAUUUUCUGCUCUUAUUUUAGUUAUUUGUUCAAUGUUUUAUGAGAAACAUUAAUCGGCUGGAAUAAAGUUCAAAACACUAGAA
Molecule: long non-coding RNA, 4310 nt
Organism: Topomyia yanbarensis
Lineage: Eukaryota; Metazoa; Arthropoda; Insecta; Diptera; Culicidae
Exons: 3
Source: RefSeq, a predicted model, not a curated record